Pelobates cultripes (western spadefoot toad) is the source of this 223-nucleotide non-coding RNA. Lineage: Eukaryota; Metazoa; Chordata; Amphibia; Anura; Pelobatidae. The record is from the annotation of a GenBank genome assembly.
GAAAGAGAGGCAAAGACGAUAAGAAUUGUUAAACAUCAUCAAAUUAGGGAGAGGAUGUAGACAGGGGGCGAAGAGCAAAUGAAAGAGGACCAGUAAAAAGAGGUGAGGGUGCAGGAGUGUUUCGGAUGUUAGCCCUGGAAGUGUAGAUGAAGAAUGUAGCUAUAUAAAAUGUAAAUAAUGCAUAAAAAAUCUAUAUAUAUUAUAAAGAUUCUACUACACAUAU